Non-coding RNA from Erinaceus europaeus (western European hedgehog), 119 nucleotides. Lineage: Eukaryota; Metazoa; Chordata; Mammalia; Eulipotyphla; Erinaceidae. The record is from Rfam.
AUCUAUGGCCAUACCACCCUGAACAUGCCCCAUCUCGUCUGAUCUCAGAAGCUAAGCAGGUCGGUCCUGGUUAGUACUUGGAUGGGAGACUGCCUGAGAAAGGUAGCCUGCCAAGGAGG